AAAUGAGCUACAGGGUGAGAGGCAUGACGAAAAUACCAGUAGUAGUUUCGUACGAUAAUUAAUUUGAACAUACCUUUACUAAAACAGUAAUUAAUCUCUCUCUGUAACUCCAAAUUUAGUGGAGUUUGAUUCUGUUGAAAACUAACUUGCGGUCGUUUCGGUACCAGUUUGGUGAAUUAUUGAUCCAAAUUGAGUUCUGUG
RNAcentral lists this long non-coding RNA (201 nucleotides) under Trifolium pratense (red clover). RNAcentral's name for it is "long non-coding RNA (TPRA_LNC008220)". Lineage: Eukaryota; Viridiplantae; Streptophyta; Magnoliopsida; Fabales; Fabaceae. The record is from RNAcentral.